UUCUUAUAACCCAAUUUAAUUUACGCUGUUGAUAUACAAAUAAAUAGUUUUGACUUCUCAAAAACGUAUAUGUAUUAUGGCUUUUAUAACCCAUAUAAACUUUACAUUACCUACAACUAACAUUAAGGGAACUGUUUCCCAACCAAAAAGAAAAACAAAAAUCGACCCACGUAAAGGUUACUGAGAGGGAAACAGGAUAUAAAAAAAAAGGAGGUGUAUUGUUCAGAGUCCUUUAAUAAUACCAAAAUGAAAAUAUGAUGUCAAGAUUUUCUUCAUACAGAUAAACGCAUUUAAUUUCUUUAGAUGACCUUAAUUUACGUGUUUGAGUGAAAUGAUAACUCAACAUUUUAAAUAUCUUUUACAUAUAUACUGACUUUCACAAAGUGCAUCAGAAAAUUAAAAAAGAAAACUCCCUGAAUUUCAGGAAUUCACCAAAAAAAAACCCCACCUCUAUUCGAAUGAACAUUUACAAGAAAAUAAAAGAGAACACAAUCUUUUGAACCCUAUUUAUACAGAUGUUAUGAAAUACAGAGAAACUGUCGCUAGACUUCCAGUUUAAUUUCUCACCUUAAGCCUUUUUUGAUGCUUCCUUUUUAGGAAAAACAGUCUCAUUGUAAGUAGAUAUCAAGCAGGACUUGGAGCAUUUUAUGUAUAAUAUAAUCCACACAAAGGGUCUUUUUUAUAGGUCCUGUUUGUUUUCAAAUGUUCUGACAGUCCUGUGCUGGGUGGUGGCUAGUUUUUUUGAGAAAAAGACAGAGAAGGGUAGAGGAGGGAGGAGGGCAGGGGGAGGAGAGGAAGGAGCCUCUGUGUAUUGCUCUUCGCUCGAGAAGUUUGUGCGAGUGGUGUGUGUGCGCGCGCGCGAGUGUGGGUCUGCGGUGCGUGUGCGUGCGUGUGUCUGUGUGCAGUUUCCGAAGAAGGUGUUUGUGGCUCAGGACGGUUCGCUUUUGUUUCUGGACCACGCGUUGGAUCCUCCUCCUCCUGGUGCAGACAGCGAAGGGAGCUCCCGGCGCAGCGGGCGAGCCUCGCUCCCAGCUCGGGCCUGGGGGCGCUGCUGGCCCCCGCCCUCCCGCUUCCCGC
This 1077-nucleotide long non-coding RNA is filed under the name Heterocephalus glaber (naked mole-rat). RNAcentral's name for it is "lncRNA (ENSHGLG00000034947.1)". The record is from RNAcentral. Lineage: Eukaryota; Metazoa; Chordata; Mammalia; Rodentia; Bathyergidae.